This 92-nucleotide transfer RNA is filed under the name Oscillospiraceae bacterium. Its description in RNAcentral is "tRNA-Ser". It matches the Rfam family "tRNA". Rfam says of the family: Transfer RNA (tRNA) molecules are approximately 80 nucleotides in length. Their secondary structure includes four short double-helical elements and three loops (D, anti-codon, and T loops). Lineage: Bacteria; Bacillati; Bacillota; Clostridia; Eubacteriales; Oscillospiraceae. The record is from RNAcentral.
GGAGGUGUACCCAAGUGGCUGAAGGGUUCGGAUUCGAAAUCCGAUAGGGUGGCUUUGCCAUUGCAAGAGUUCAAAUCUCUUCACCUCCGCCA